CAGUCGAGGGGUAUAGGUUUUCGGACCUAGAGACCGGCGCACGGGUGCGUAACGCGUAUGCAAUCUACCUUUUACAGAGGGAUAGCCCAGAGAAAUUUGGAUUAAUACCUCAUAGUAUAAUGACUCGGCAUCGAGAUAUUAUUAAAGUCACAACGGUAAAAGAUGAGCAUGCGUCCCAUUAGCUUGUUGGUAAGGUAACGGCUUACCAAGGCAACGAUGGGUAGGGGUCCUGAGAGGGAGAUCCCCCACACUGGUACUGAGACACGGACCAGACUCCUACGGGAGGCAGCAGUGAGGAAUAUUGGUCAAUGGGCGCAAGCCUGAACCAGCCAUGCCGCGUGCAGGAUGAAGCAUCUAUGGUGUGUAAACUGCUUUUGUACGAGAAGAAACACUCCUUCGUGAAGGAGCUUGACGGUAUCGUAAGAAUAAGGACCGGCUAACUCCGUGCCAGCAGCCGCGGUAAUACGGAGGGUCCAAGCGUUAUCCGGAAUCAUUGGGUUUAAAGGGUCCGUAGGCGGUUUUGUAAGUCAGUGGUGAAAGCCCAUCGCUCAACGGUGGAACGGCCAUUGAUACUGCAAGACUUGAAUUAUUAGGAAGUAACUAGAAUAUGUAGUGUAGCGGUGAAAUGCUUAGAGAUUACAUGGAAUACCAAUUGCGAAGGCAGGUUACUACUAAUGGAUUGACGCUGAUGGACGAAAGCGUGGGGAGCGAACAAGAUUAGAUACCCUGGUAGUCCACGCCGUANACGAUGGAUACUAGCUGUUCGGAGCAAUCUGAGUGGCUAAGCGAAAGUGAUAAGUAUCCCACCUGGGGAGUACGUUCGCAAGAAUGAAACUCAAAGGAAUUGACGGGGGCCCGCACAAGCGGUGGAGCAUGUGGUUUAAUUCGAUGAUACGCGAGGAACCUUACCA
RNAcentral lists this ribosomal RNA (911 nucleotides) under uncultured bacterium. RNAcentral describes it as "bacterial SSU rRNA". It matches the Rfam family "Bacterial small subunit ribosomal RNA", at positions 59 to 976 of the family's 1533-position model. The record is from RNAcentral.